This 481-nucleotide ribosomal RNA is filed under the name uncultured bacterium. Its description in RNAcentral is "partial 16S ribosomal RNA". It matches the Rfam family "Bacterial small subunit ribosomal RNA", at positions 28 to 507 of the family's 1533-position model. The record is from RNAcentral.
GAUGAACGCUGGCGGCGUGCUUAACACAUGCAAGUCGAACGAAGCACUUUAUCUGAUUUCCUUCGGGACUGAUUAUUUUGUGACUGAGUGGCGGACGGGUGAGUAACUCGUGGGUAACCUGCCUUGUACAGGGGGAUAACAGCUGGAAACGGCUGCUAAUACCGCAUAAGCGCACGGCAUCGCAUGAUGCAGUGUGAAAAACUCCGGUGGUAUAAGAUGGACCCGCGUUGGAUUAGCUAGUUGGUGAGGUAACGGCCCACCAAGGCGACGAUGCAUAGCCGACGUGGGAGGGUGCCUGGCCACAUUGGGACUGCGACGCGGCCCAAGCUCCUACGCGAGGCAGCAGAGGGGACUAUUGCACAAUGGGCGAAGGCCUGAUGCAGCGACGCCGCGUGAGCGAAGAAGUAUGUCGGUAUGUAAAGCUCUAUCAGCAGGGAAGAUAAUGACGGUACCUGACUAAGAAGCACCGGCUAAAUACGUG